GAGUUUGAUCCUGGCUCAGGAUGAACGCUAGCGGCAGGCUUAACACAUGCAAGUCGAGGGGUAGCAGGGAGCUUGCUCCGCUGACGACCGGCGAACGGGUGCGUAACGCGUAUAGAAUCUACCUCUUACUAAGGGAUAGCCCAGAGAAAUUUGGAUUAAUAUCUUAUAGUAUGUUGACUUGGCAUCAAGAUAACAUUAAAGGUUACGGUAAGAGAUGACUACGCGUCCUAUUAGCUAGAUGGUGUGGUAACGGCACACCAUGGCAACGAUAGGUAGGGGCCCUGAGAGGGGGAUCCCCCACACUGGUACUGAGACACGGACCAGACUCCUACGGGAGGCAGCAGUGAGGAAUAUUGGACAAUGGAGGCAACUCUGAUCCAGCCAUGCCGCGUGCAGGAAGACUGCCCUAUGGGUUGUAAACUGCUUUUAUACAGGAAGAAACACUCUCACGUGUGAGAGCUUGACGGUACUGUAAGAAUAAGGAUCGGCUAACUCCGUGCCAGCAGCCGCGGUAAUACGGAGGAUCCAAGCGUUAUCCGGAAUCAUUGGGUUUAAAGGGUCCGUAGGUGGAUAAUUAAGUCAGAGGUGAAAUCCUGCAGCUCAACUGUAGAAUUGCCUUUGAUACUGGUUGUCUUGAGUUAUUAUGAAGUAGUUAGAAUAUGUAGUGUAGCGGUGAAAUGCAUAGAUAUUACAUAGAAUACCAAUUGCGAAGGCAGAUUACUAAUAAUAUACUGACACUGAUGGACGAAAGCGUGGGGAGCGAACAGGAUUAGAUACCCUGGUAGUCCACGCCGUAAACGAUGGUCACUAGCUGUUCGAACUUCGGUUUGAGUGGCUAAGCGAAAGUGAUAAGUGACCCACCUGGGGAGUACGUUCGCAAGAAUGAAACUCAAAGGAAUGACG
RNAcentral lists this ribosomal RNA (903 nucleotides) under uncultured bacterium. RNAcentral describes it as "bacterial SSU rRNA". It matches the Rfam family "Bacterial small subunit ribosomal RNA", at positions 9 to 915 of the family's 1533-position model. The record is from RNAcentral.